RNAcentral lists this ribosomal RNA (4773 nucleotides) under Triticum aestivum (bread wheat). Its description in RNAcentral is "partial small subunit ribosomal RNA". The record is from RNAcentral. Lineage: Eukaryota; Viridiplantae; Streptophyta; Magnoliopsida; Poales; Poaceae.
CUCAUCCCCAAUUCCCCUCCUCCCCACCUCACUGCUUCAUCUCAUCUCUGAGUUGCCUCUCGGUCUCGGGGCCUCACAAAAUCUCCUAGAAUGAUUGCUACUGCCGGGCGGCGCUUCAGUAAUCAGUAGCUGCUGCUAGCAAGACCCGAGCGUAGUAGGUACAUCCAUUUCUGAGACAAGUAAUUCCAACGGAGGGAGUAGUAGCUAGCAUGGCGGAAGCUCUGCUUCUGCCGGCGGUACGCAUCACGGCCGGCAAGGCGGCCGACGCGCUCGUCCAGGGCGUGGCCGGCAUGUGGGGCGUCGACGCCGACCGCCGCAAGCUGGAGCGCCAGCUGCUGGCCGUCCAGUGCAAGCUGGCCGACGCGGAGCUCAAGAGCGGGGUCAACCCGGCCGUCCGGCGGUGGAUCAAGGACCUGCGGACCGCCGCCUACCAGGCCGACGACGUCCUCGACGACUUCCACCACGAGGCGCUGCGCCGCGAAGCCCGGAUCGGCGAGUCGGCCGCCCGCAAGGUGCUCGGCUAUUUCACGCUGCCGCACAACCCGCUUCUGUUCCGUCUCGCAAUGAGCUGGAGGCUGAACAGUGUCCUCAAAAAGAUCGAUCUGCUUGUCGCGGAGAUGAACAGUUUCGGCCUGGAGAACCAUGCCGAGGCGCCGCAUGCUGUUCUUUGCCGGCAGACGCACUCGGCGAUCGACGACCCUGCGCAGAUCUUCGGCAGAGAUCUCGACAAGGAGGCGGUGGUGAACCUGUUGCUCGGCCAGCAAGAUCAUCAGAAAGUGCAGGUCCUGCCCGUCUUUGGGAUGGGUGGUCUGGGCAAGACCACGCUUGCCAAGAUGGUGUACAACGACCCCAAGGUCCAGCAACAUUUUCAGUUACUCAUGUGGCACUGUGCGUCGGACAGCUUCGAGACCGCCGCCCUUGUGAAGUCCAUCAUCGAGUUGGCUACGAGAGGGAGAUGCGACAUUCCAGACACAGUCGAGCUGCUGCGAGGGAGGCUUCAGGAGGUCAUUGGCUGGAAAAGGUUUCUGCUUGUUCUUGACGAUGUCUGGAAUGAAGAACAGCGAAAGUGGGAGGAUAGCCUGAAAUCAGCGUUGUGUUCCGUCGGCGGUUCCGGAAGCGUUAUAAUCGUCACGACUCGGAGCCCACGAGCAGCGUCUAUAAUGGGCACGCUUCAAACCCAUGAGCUGGCACAUCUGAGUGAACAACACUCAUGGGAAUUGUUCUCAAAGAAAGCAUUUAAGGGAAAUGUGCGAGAGCAGGCAGAGUUGAUGUCGAUCGGCAAGCGUAUCGUCAGCAAAUGCAAGGGGCACCCUCUUGCUCUGAGUGCAAUGGGGGGUUUGAUGUGUUCAAAAGGACGGGCCUGGGAAUGGGAGGCCAUUGCAGAAAGCAAUAUUGGGGAUAGUGUUGCAGGCAAACAAGAAAUCAUAUCCAUACUCAAAUUGAGCUACCAACACUUAUCCUCUGAAAUGAAGCAAUGCUUUGCCUUCUGCGCCGUCUUCUCCAAGAACAGUGAGAUGGAAAAAAGCAUGUUGAUCCAACUAUGGAUGGCCAAUGGGUUUAUUCAAGAAGAGGGAAUGAUGGAUUUGGAGCAGAAAGGCGAAUUUGUUUUCAACGAGUUGGUUUGGAGAUCCUUCCUUCAGGAUGUGGAAGUGAAACCAUUUGAUGGCCCAGCUUCAAGGCAUGGUUUGGUUGGAUGUGGGAUGCAUGAUUUAAUGCAUGACCUAGCAAAACAUGUUACGGGUGAAUGCGCAACUAUGCAAGAGUUGAUUCAGAAGAAAGCAUAUGUAGAAGAUGUCUUUCACAUGAAAAUAUCAUCGGAUGAAUUGGAACAAAGCAACGGAUUACUGAAAAAUAAGGAAUCUCUCCGAACUCUGUUAGCACCGUCAUCAUCACAUAAGGAUCUCAGCAAGUUAAGGCUGACGUCGUUAAGAGCAUUAUGUUGUCGUGGCCUUCAUAUCCGUCAACCCAUAAAGACAAAGCAUUUGCGAUAUCUUGACCUGUCUCACUCUGAAAUUGUUACAUUGCCAGAUUCGGUAUGCAUGUUGUACAACUUACAGUCGCUGAGGCUCAAUCAUUGCCACAAGCUCCGAUAUUUACCUGAAGGCAUCAGAAGCAUGAAAAAACUUCACCAUCUCUAUCUUUUUGAGUGUGAUAAACUGGAGCGGAUGCCCCCAAAGAUUAGUCAACUAAGCAACCUGCACACCCUAACAUCGUUUGUUGUGGGCACUGGAGAUGGUUGUGGAAUUGAUCAACUCAAAGAUCUAAAAUACCUUAGCCACCGGUUGGAACUAUACAAUUUGAUAAAAAUAGAGAGUGUGGUGGAUGCAAAAGAAGCCAAACUCUAUCAGAAAAAAAAUCUAACUGAACUGUCGCUAUGCUGGGGUCGUCGAAAAUAUCACGGGCCUCAAGAUGAUGUUGGUAACAUGGAACAAGUAUUGGAGGCUCUUGCACCUCAUAGUGAGAUCAAAGUAUUGGAGAUACAUGGUUAUGGUGGCACUAAAUUCUCAUCAUGGAUGAUGCACUCUCAGAUGUGCCAGUGCCUAAGAAAACUCAUAAUCUUCAACUGCCCAAAAUGCAAACAUCUCCCAUCCGCACCGCUGUUGGUCUCCCUCGAGUAUUUGUCCUUAGGUUACAUGGAUAGCCUGACCAUGAUAUGCAAGGAGACUGAUGUGGAGGUUGAAGGAUGCAAUGCAUCUCGUCAGAUCUUCCCAAAGCUAAAAAGAAUGUUCUUAGAAAACUUACCAGAGUUGGAGAGAUGGACAGAAAACAGUACUGCAGGGGAACCUCCUCAUAGCUUGGUGAUGUUUCCUCUGCUUGAAGAGCUAAGUAUGUAUGCCUGUCCGAAGGUUGCAAGUGUUCCGAGCAGCCCAGUUAUAGAGAAGCUGCGGAUAAUGGAAUGUUACAGCCUUCCAAUCAGCUCAAUCGCUCAUCUGACAACGCUCUCUGAGCUUGAGUUUGGUGGAGAAUUAAUUCGUUCUGCAAGCAUGCCUUUGGGCUCUUGGCUAUCCCUCGUGAAAUUAAGUGUUAGCUCACUGGGUGAUAUGAUGCUGCCUCCAGGGGACCAGCAAAGCCAUAGGCCCUUGGAAACCCUUCGGAGUAUGUGGCUAUCCGGUCCCAAUUGCUUUGAAACGACAUCCACUUUGUCAAAAUCGCACCUGCUGAGGCUCUGGGAGUGCUUUGCCUUUGUUGAAGAAUUGUGCAUUUCUGGGUGCGACGAACUUGUCCACUGGCCGACGGAGGAGCUCCGGAACCUGGCUCGUCUCCGUUUUCUGCGCAUUAGCUUCUGUGUUAAGCUCAAGGGGAAGGGCUCGCCGUCUGAUGAAAUCCUUCCGCCGCCCCAGCUGGAGAUGUUAAGCAUUCACAACUGUAGCAGCUUACGGUAUAUUCCCGAGGUGGCUGCAUCCCUUGAUGAAUUAGUGAUAGGAGAAUGCACGUGUUUGAUCGCGCUGCCUUCAAAUCUAUCCAAGCUGAGGGUGCUCCGGAUUCAGGGCUGCAGUGGCUUGAAAACUUUGCCAGAUGGCCUCACCUCUCUUGAGCAGCUGACAAUCGAGAGGUGUACAGGGAUAGAAAAAUUCCCGCAGGACCUCCUCCAACGGCUCCCAGCACUCAAGUCCUUGAAGAUAGUUGGUUGCCCCAACUUGCAAAGACAUUGCAGACAAGGUGGGGAGUAUUUCCACUUGAUUUCCUCUAUUCCACAUAAGGACAUUCCAGCAGCAGAAACUGAGUCUGGCAGGAUGAACCAGACGUUUUUAAAGAGGUUAAUGCCCUCCUGCUGACUCUCAGGUCUCAACUGAGCAGUGUAGGAUGAAUGCGGUGUUGUGGUUUCAUGAAGAAAGGAGCUAAGAGCCAAAGACCGACCUUGUCAUCCAUGCCUUGGUAGUAAUUUGGUUUCCAGAGACUGCAAGCAGGGGGCAGAGAUAUUGUCCUAUCCCACUGCUAUUGGCUCUGAACCCCAGGAUAUGAACCUGGAUUCCCGUGAACACUGGCGCUAACUUGGUUUCCCUUGUUGCUUCUCACCGGAUAGGAAGGGAAACUGUUGAGAGACUGAGCAUGGCAAAGGCACUAUAAAGUUCUAUGGGAAUUCGUUCAUCGCAGGGCCAACUGAAGAGAUCAUCAAGCUUGCAAAUGACGAAGACGAGGAGGUGCUUGCAGCAGAGUUCGACUUGGACGAGGUCAAUUCCUGAUCUAUACAGCGUGCUGUUGGGGUAUAUUCAGGGACAUGCGUCCUGAUCUAUACAAAAGUGCUGUUGACGUUGGAUGGCAAGACAUCAUCAUCCUGGGUCCCACUUGUAUGAGAAGGACAUGAGCUCCAAAAUACCGGGAAAACAGAGGGUCCAGGAAUAAUACAUGUGCCGCACCAAAUGUUGAGGUAUCUCUGUGUUUGCAGCUUGGUGGCUUUCCACCAAUAUAGCAUCAACAAAAUGCUGCAAUGUAACCAUGUGACCAGAAACAAAAUGUUCGAAACAUGAAGGAUAAUAAUGCAUCACUGCUUCACAGUUGUUGAAACAUUUUUUACUAUACUCCUACAGUUAGUGUUUUUAAUCACUUGCUUAAAAUGAAGAGGUGGAUGAUAAUUGGCAGAAUCAGCAUCUUUGACCCCCAAGAUACCCUUUGCUUUGGCUGUAAUGUAAACCUGUCAACCAACUGUCACAUGUGUUGUAGUAUUCCUUUUUCAUCAAACCAAGUCCAGGCAGGCAGGGUUCUUGUGAGCCUAGAGUGCUUUGCAGCCUGUACUGUAUACACGCUCAUCCUUAGCUGUGGAGCAUCAUUGCG